Molecule: unclassified non-coding RNA, 267 nt
Filed under: plant metagenome
Description: partial contains small subunit ribosomal RNA, internal transcribed spacer 1, and 5.8S ribosomal RNA
Source: RNAcentral
UUUCCGUAGGUGAACCUGCGGAAGGAUCAUUAUCGUACAAAAUGUGAGGGGCAUGCGAGGGCUGUCGCUGACCCAAAAGUCGUCCAUGCCCGAGUGUGUCCUCUUGCAUAAUAAUCCAUCUCACCCUUUGUGCAUCACCGCGUGGGCACCCUUCGGGAUCAUCUCGGAGGGGGGCUCGCGUUUUCACACAAACCCCCCUUUUAAAAGUGUAGAAUGACCACAUUUAUGCAAUCAAUACAACUUUCAACAACGGAUCUCUUGGCUCUC